This 253-nucleotide ribosomal RNA is filed under the name uncultured bacterium. RNAcentral describes it as "partial 16S ribosomal RNA". It matches the Rfam family "Bacterial small subunit ribosomal RNA", at positions 524 to 776 of the family's 1533-position model. The record is from RNAcentral.
UACAGAGGUCCCGAGCGUUGUUCGGAUUCACUGGGCGUAAAGGGUGCGUAGGCGGUCGGAUAAGUUUGAUGUGAAAUCUCCGGGCUUAACCCUGAAAUGGCAUUGAAUACUGCUGUGCUGGAGGUUUGGAGGGGGGACUGGAAUUCUUGGUGUAGCAGUGAAAUGCGUAGAUAUCAAGAGGAACACCAGUGGCGAAGGCGAGUCCCUGGACAACACCUGACACUGAGGCACGAAAGCUAGGGGAGCAAACAGG